GAAGGAGACCUCGCUGUAGGCAUGUCAGCUGUGGACUCUUGCCUGUCUUCUCUGUGGGAUACUUGGGACAGUCUCAUGAUCCUACAAGAGGGCAGACAUGAGCCAGCUGAAAGAAACAUCAAACAGAGCCCCAGGAAUAAACGGCAAAACCCCUAAGGAUCCAAAAGAUCGCAAGAUUCCUCAGGCCUGCCUAGAUGAUGUAAGGGGCUUCCUGGAUCUGGCUCAACAUCUUCCACACUAAACUCUUCCCUGUUCACAGAAGACCAUCAUAAAAAUGCAUUGUAGAGGCCCUGCAAGGACCAGGAUGAAGGGAGACAGUGAGGUCAAGAGCCCAGCCAUCUUUCACUGACACCCACUUCUGGGUUCUCAGGCUGGCUGACAGGUCUGACAGCCCAUCACGAAAGCCUGCAUACUCUUAGACACAAGGACUGAGCUAUGGGCUCCAGCUAGCAUCACAAUGAAGGCCACCAUUGCCUAGGGAUAAGUCCCUGUGACUUUGUGGAUAAGAACUCCGUGGAGCCAAUCCAAGGAGAGACACUAUCAUUCAUCUCUACCGGGCCUAUUAAAUUUACCUCGAAUUUGAUUCCCAGAGGAGUUGGUGCUUCACAUCAUCAGGGGGAACUUCUCCAUUGUCUUGGGAUUUCAGUCUGGGAUAGAGACUUUGAACAGCAAUAAGUUUCCUUGGUCUGGCUCAACGUCUUCUAAACUCAACAUUCCCCAGUUCAUGGAAAAUGAUCCUCAUGGGAUUCUAUUGUAAAAGCUGCAUGAUUCCUGGAGAAUGUUUUAUUGUCCUGAAGUCAACCCAAAAAUCAACACUACCAGUCAUGUUGCAGAGCUCCUUGAAUUAACCUUGAAUUCAGUUUCCAGCUGAGCAGCUGCUUCACGUUGUGAGGGGGCAAUCCUCCAUCAUCCUGGGAUUUCAUUCUGGGACACAGAGUUUGAGCAGCAAUAAGGCUGGGUCCACAUUGCCCCUCAACAGCAUUAGUGGACAUGAUUGUCAGACUUGCAAUUUCCGCAGACACCUUCUGUGAACAUUUUUCAACAUCAUCUACAUGAGUGAGAGACCCGUUCGACAUGUAAGAAUACUGCUUGACUUUGGACCUGCCUUUGUCGUGGUUCCUGCCUUUCUCAUAGAUCCCCUGCCAGGCCCAGGAUGAUAGGAGGCAAUGAAGUCAAGGGCCGAGCCCCAUUCAUUGAAAGCUGACUCUGGGGUCUCGGGUAUAAUUCCAUCACAUAAAAUCCCCUCAACAACUCACCAGACUAUAUUCCAAUCUCCAUGGAACCUGAUUCUUGCACACAGCCUCUUUCAGGAAUGGAGUCAGAAGAGCAGUCUUCAGAGACCACCUCAGUUUGGAAAAGCCUCCUCCUUCAGUGGUUCCCAGCCAUGGAGUCAUCGUGAAGGGGCUCCAUGGUCAAUAAUUUUACGGUACUGCACUUGGUUAUCACAGACAGACUUUUUCAUGAUAGCAUGCCAUCUCUGUCUAUAUCAUUUUCCUCUGCUUAGGCAGGCUGACAACUCUGACAGCCAGGGGCCCGAAUCUACCUGGCAAAUGUGCAUGCUCUACUCUCAGUGCAAAAGGCCUGUUUGGGAGUUCUGACUAGUGUCACAAUAAAUGCCGCCAUUGCCUAGUGAAAAAAAAAA
Molecule: long non-coding RNA, 1642 nt
Filed under: Homo sapiens (human)
Lineage: Eukaryota; Metazoa; Chordata; Mammalia; Primates; Hominidae
Description: testis expressed transcript, Y-linked 2 (TTTY2)
Source: RNAcentral